GCGGUGCAUUAGCUAGUUGGUAAGGUAAAGGCUUACCAAGGCGAUGAUGCAUAGCCCGAGUUGAGAGACUGACUCGGGCCACAUUGGGGACUGAGGACACGGGGCCCAAACUCCGUACGGGGGGAGGGGCAGCAGGUAGGGGGAAUCUUCCACAAUGGACGCAAGUCUGAUGGAGCAACGCCGCGUGAGUGAAGAAGGUUUUCGGAUCGUAAAGCUCUGUUGUUGGGUGAAGAAGGAUAGAGGUAGUAACUGGCCUUUAUUUGACGGUAAUCAACCAGAAAGUCACGGCUAACUACGUGCCAGCAGCCGCGGUAAU
This 316-nucleotide ribosomal RNA is filed under the name uncultured Lactobacillus sp. Its description in RNAcentral is "bacterial SSU rRNA". It matches the Rfam family "Bacterial small subunit ribosomal RNA", at positions 233 to 524 of the family's 1533-position model. The record is from RNAcentral. Lineage: Bacteria; Bacillati; Bacillota; Bacilli; Lactobacillales; Lactobacillaceae.